GAUGAACGCUGGCGGCGUGCCUAAUACAUGCAAGUCGAGCGAAUGGAUUAAGAGCUUGCUCUUAUGAAGUUAGCGGCGGACGGGUGAGUAACACGUGGGUAACCUGCCCAUAAGACUGGGAUAACUCCGGGCAACCGGGGCUAAUACCGGAUACCACUUUGAACCGCAUGGUUCGAAAUCGAAAGGCGGAUUCGCCUGUCACUCAUGCAUGGACCCGCGUCGCAUUAGCCAGUUGGUGAGGUAACGGCUCACCAAGGCAACGAUGCGUAGCCGACCUGAGAGGGUGAUCGGCCACACUGGGACUGUGACACGGCCCAGACUCCUACGGGAGGCAGCAGUAGGGAAUCUUCCGCAAUGGACGAAAGUCUGACGGAGCAACGCCGCGUGGGUGAUGAAGGCUUUCGGGUCGUAAAACUCUGUUGUUAGGGAAGAACAAGUGCUAGUUGAAUAAGCUGGCACCUUGACGGUACCUAACCAGAAAGCCACGGCUAACUACGUGCCAGCCGCCGCCGUAA
This 515-nucleotide ribosomal RNA is filed under the name uncultured bacterium. RNAcentral describes it as "partial 16S ribosomal RNA". It matches the Rfam family "Bacterial small subunit ribosomal RNA", at positions 28 to 523 of the family's 1533-position model. The record is from RNAcentral.